CACAGCCAUUUGUGGGAUUUUACUGCACGCUAACAGAGCAUCCAGCUCCUGGCUAUCAAUGCGUAAGGCUCUAGGGACCAGGUAACACGUGCAAAAUAAACUGCUACGGCAUUGAAGCAGAGAUAUCAGUCAUUGCCACUUUCAGCUCUUGUUGCUAAGUGGUCCCAAAUGGCACCAUAGUUCUUGCAUGAAUCCACUGGAAGAGUCACUUCUGGGGAGGAAUGGCUCUGGGAACUGCACAGCUCCCAGCACACAUAGGUUGCGUUUGUUGGGAGCAAUGCAUUGUGAGAACACCAAUGUGAUGUCACCUCCUCCUUCAUCAGUUGUGAUGUUCCAGGCCCACCGCAGCCAUCGCGUGCAUCAGGGAGAUCUGUUCGUUGGCUUCAGCAUGGAUACAGGGAGAAGGAAAACACCAGGAGAGAUGGAUCUGAGAAGAGGAGCAGGAAUAAUGUACGAGCACUUCAUCGGAAUAUUUGUGAUCCACAUAAUGGAGUUCUGAAAACGUCUUGAUCUCAAUCUUUACGUCGUGGUCUGACAAAACUACUGAAGGACUGUAAGGAAAGCACUACAAGCAGGUCAAGGUUUAGCUGGUGCUGUGGGACCAUUUAAACACUGCAGAAAAAUAACUAUCUCCACCAGGUACAAACUGUAUAAUCAGGAUGUAAUAAGAAGGAGAAGGUGAUGGGGCAGCCUACCACGACUUGUAUUGAUUUAAACAGGAAGAGGCAAUAAAAUCUUGUGAAUGCUUUUCUCUUCA
This 757-nucleotide long non-coding RNA is filed under the name Numida meleagris (helmeted guineafowl). RNAcentral's name for it is "lncRNA (ENSNMEG00000005388.1)". Lineage: Eukaryota; Metazoa; Chordata; Aves; Galliformes; Numididae. The record is from RNAcentral.